RNAcentral lists this ribosomal RNA (440 nucleotides) under uncultured bacterium. RNAcentral's name for it is "partial 16S ribosomal RNA". It matches the Rfam family "Bacterial small subunit ribosomal RNA", at positions 29 to 507 of the family's 1533-position model. The record is from RNAcentral.
AUGAACGCUGGCGGCGUGCCUCAUCCCUGCCAGUCGCACGGGGAGUAGCAAUACUCUUAGUGGCGAACGGGUGAGUAACGCGUUGGUACCUGCCCCGAAGCGGGGGAUAACGGACCGAAAGGUCCGCUAAUACCCCAUGUGCUCGGUAACGAGUAAAGGUGAAAACCACUUUGGGAGGGGCCUGCGUCCCAUCAGCUAGUUGGUAAGGUAACGGCUUACCAAGGCGAUGACGGGUAGGGGACCUGAGAGGGUGGCCCCCCACAAUGGAACUGAAACACGGUCCAUACCCCUACGGGUGGCAGCAGUAGGGAAUAUUGGGAAUGGGCGCAAGCCUGAACCAGCAACGCCGCGUGUGCGAUGACGGCCUUCGGGUUGUAAAGCACUUUUGACUGGGACGAGGAAGGACGGUACCGGUCGAAUCAGCCUCGGCUAACUACGUG